This 90-nucleotide transfer RNA is filed under the name Bacteroidales bacterium. Its description in RNAcentral is "tRNA-Ser". It matches the Rfam family "tRNA". Rfam says of the family: Transfer RNA (tRNA) molecules are approximately 80 nucleotides in length. Their secondary structure includes four short double-helical elements and three loops (D, anti-codon, and T loops). The record is from RNAcentral. Lineage: Bacteria; Pseudomonadati; Bacteroidota; Bacteroidia; Bacteroidales.
GGAAGAGUGCCGGAGCGGUCGAACGGGGCAGUCUCGAAAACUGUUGUGCGAGUAAUUGCACCGGGGGUUCGAAUCCCUCCUCUUCCGCCU